This 454-nucleotide ribosomal RNA is filed under the name uncultured bacterium. RNAcentral describes it as "partial 16S ribosomal RNA". It matches the Rfam family "Bacterial small subunit ribosomal RNA", at positions 28 to 507 of the family's 1533-position model. The record is from RNAcentral.
GAUGAACGCUGCCAGAAUGCUUAACACAUGCAAGUCUACUUGAACUUCGGUUUGGGUGGCGGACGGGUGAGUAACGCGUAAAGAACUUGCCUCACAGUUAGGGACAACAUUUGGAAACGAAUGCUAAUACCUGAUAUUAUGAUUUUAGGGCAUCCUAGGAUUAUGAAAGCUAUAUGUGCUGUGAGAGAGCUUUGCGUCCCAUUAGCUAGUUGGAGAGGUAACGGCUCACCAAGGCGAUGAUGGGUAGCCGGCCUGAGAGGGUGAACGGCCACAAGGGGACUGAGACACGGCCCUUACUCCUACGGGAGGCAGCAGUGGGGAAUAUUGGACAAUGGACCAAAAGUCUGAUCCAGCAAUUCUGUGUGCACGAUGACGUUUUUCGGAAUGUAAAGUGCUUUCAGUUGGGAAGAAAAAAAUGACGGUACCAACAGAAGAAGUGACGGCUAAAUACGUG